AUUUAAGUAAUUUAAUUAAAAUUUUGGUUUGUGGUAUCAAAUAUGUAAUAUCUUAUUACCUUAAAUU
RNAcentral lists this transfer RNA (67 nucleotides) under Omophron limbatum. RNAcentral's name for it is "tRNA-His". Lineage: Eukaryota; Metazoa; Arthropoda; Insecta; Coleoptera; Carabidae. The record is from RNAcentral.